Molecule: non-coding RNA, 110 nt
Filed under: bovine gut metagenome
Source: RNAcentral
CGCUGGGGGAGCUUUCGCUGAGAACCUGUGGAUGGCCGGAUAUCCGGCAAAAAACGGGGACCCUUGAACCUGAACCGGAUAAUACCGGCGUAGGAAAGCAGAGACAUUUU